RNAcentral lists this long non-coding RNA (262 nucleotides) under Elaeis guineensis (African oil palm). RNAcentral describes it as "long non-coding RNA (EGUI_LNC046735)". The record is from RNAcentral. Lineage: Eukaryota; Viridiplantae; Streptophyta; Magnoliopsida; Arecales; Arecaceae.
AGUAAACAUCUGGAAUAGACAACCCGCUGUAGGAGUUCGGAGUAGACCAUUCGUAGUAGAAGUUCGGCUCUCGCAGGAGCUCGAUCGGGAUCCGAAAGGCGGUCGACUGUCGUAAAAACUUGGAAGGAGUCUGGUUACUGUAGAAAUCUCAUUGUCGGGGAAGCUCGGAUGCUGAUGAAGUCUGAAAGAAGUUCAGGGAUAGUCGGUUGCUGUAGAAGGUCGGCUAACAGUGGGGCCUUGAGGGCCUUUGGGGUGGCCCGGU